This is a long non-coding RNA of Bos taurus (domestic cattle), 2393 nucleotides long. The record is from Ensembl. Lineage: Eukaryota; Metazoa; Chordata; Mammalia; Artiodactyla; Bovidae.
UGGGAAUAAAGAAGGGGGAGAGGAAAGUAUGGUGUUGCACAGACUCAUUCUAGUGGAAUCCAGUUAGAUGGUCCGAACACUUGUUCCAGAGGUUGACAUGUGUUUUGAUUUACACUAUGCCUGGAUGGACCGUGCAUACCCUUCAUUCCUAUGGAGGAUCAUCUCUACAAGGAGGUAUCAUUGUUCCUGUUUUACAAAUGAGAAACUACGUACAGACAUUUGUCCACAUUCACUCGGCUAGUUGACAGGGUUUGGAACUCCGAUCUGUACGGCCCCCAAGCUAUGCUGCAAGUGCCGCACACAGGUCUCACCCCUGCCCCGUGGAGUUGGCCAUACUGCAGCAAUAAAGACCGUGGAGCUGACAGCUCUGCAGCUGCUUCAGAGAGAGAUGUAGAGAUUUAUGCACAAAGAUGUGUGCCUAAGAUAUGUUAUAGCAAAAGGCCAAAUAUUCUUGUAAAAGUGGCAGAGAUGACUGAAGAGCUUUAUUAAGCAUGUAUUAAGUAUGUGCAGUGGAGCAUUACCAUCUGCUAAAUCUGGGUGGUUUUAUUGACCUCUCUAUUUUGCUGUAUGUUUGAAAUAUUUCAUUAUUAAUCAUUCUUAGGCAAAAGGAAAUGGAAGAAAGCAGAUAAGUUCUGCAUUGUGAGUUGUUCAGGUAGUUUUUGCAUAAACUGGAGGGUGAUAAUUGCUGAUAUGACCUCAAAAGAGAUAAGGGAGCGAAAGGAAGGUUUGCUAAUUAGCUACUAAGAAGAGAGAAAUGUGAGAAAUAAUUAAAUCACCUGGUUCGGUGUGCUCCUCUAACGCAUCCUCCCUGACUGUCUCUUCCAACUUAAUGACUCAGAGCAAUCAGCCAACGAUACACUCCGGGAGAAGAGAGAUCUUGUUAAACUUUGAGUUUGAUGCCAGUGAUGCAUGCAUUGUUUUCACAAAUUAUAUUAGUGCUCAUGCACUGGAAUUGCUGUACUUUAGACACUCAAAAUUAUGGACCAACUAUCUCUAGUGGUUGCCUGGUUUUGGAGUGAACCUCAAAGGCGAGCCUUGGCUAGGAAAGAUUUUUCCAUAUUCCAGCAGCUUUUGUUCAAAGCAUAUUUUGUUUAUACUUCCUUCCAAGUUCAAUGUGACACGGAUGGUUGUGCUUUGAUUUUUUUUUUCUUUUUUGGGGUUCAUGGAAAUCAUAACUGAAGUUUAAUUUUUUAAUCUUGCCCUUCAGAGCAGCUGACACAUCUCAGCCAAUGUUUGUUGUAUGUGCAAAAUAUACGGAAGGGAGGAGUCAAUUAAAGCCAAAAGGAGUAACAGAAAGGAAAUACUUGAGAACAGAAACCAAUAAAAUAGUAGGGAAAAUGAAUAAAAUAAAUUGGUUUUUUAAAAGAUUAAUAACAUUUUUAAUCCCCUAGCAAAAUUUAUCAAGGGAAAAAACCCCACACAAAUUACCAAUGUUAGGGACAAUAUUAUAUAUACACACACACACACACACAUAAGGAAGGAGUAGCUAUUUCAAUGGCUAUAGGACAUUAAUGUGGAUGUCUUGUUAGAGCCGUUGAUUUGAUUUUAAGAAAGCUCAUCAUUGUCGUUUAUUCUUUAAGUUGUGUCCGACUCUUGUAACCCCAUGGACCGUGGCCUGCUAGGCUCCUCUGUCCAUGGGAUUCUCCAGGCAAGAAUACUGGAACGGUUACCAUUUCCUUCUCCAUUUAAGAAAGCUACUUAUAUAAAUAAGCUAUGACAGAGGGAGUUCAUCCACGUUUUAAUGAGACAGCUUAACUCUCCUGCUAAAUUAAUACAUCUACUUUGAGACUUUAAUCUCCAGGAGAAGUGGCAACAGAAAGGGCAGUUGAAGAAACACUCCUUGUACACAUUCACAAUGUUUAUUUUUAUAAAAUCAACACUGUAAUAUAAUUCCACUUUUAUCUAAAACAAAAUGUAUAAAUGCAAUUAACACUAGAAGAAUAUACAAACCAGAAUAUUCAUAAUGACUAAUUUUCUCUUUUAGAUAAUAUUUUAAAUUAUUGGAUUUUACUUUUCCAUGUUUUCUCACUUCUCUGUGUCAAGCCUAUACAACCAGUUUAGAAUGAGAAGUGAAAGUUGCUCAGUUAUGUCUGACUCUGUGACUCCAUGGACUAUAGCCUGCCAGGCUCCUCUGGGAUCUUCCCAACCCACACAUCAAAACCAGGUCUUCCGCAUUGCAGGCAGAUUCUUUACCAGCUGAGCCACAAGGGAAGCCCUUGUUUUGUUUUCUUUGGCUACAGACAUGUGGGAUCUUUGCUCCUCAACCAGGGAUCGGACCCACACCCCUUAUGUUAGGAGGUGAAAUCUUAAUCCCUAGACUGCCAGGAGAAGAAAAUACAAUAAAUGUUUCAGGAUCAAGAGAAAAAAAAUGAAUAUACACCAAUGUUUAAGGG